This 485-nucleotide ribosomal RNA is filed under the name uncultured bacterium. RNAcentral describes it as "bacterial SSU rRNA". It matches the Rfam family "Bacterial small subunit ribosomal RNA", at positions 30 to 507 of the family's 1533-position model. The record is from RNAcentral.
AUUGAACGCUGGCGGCAUGCCUUACACAUGCAAGUCGAACGGGUAACAGGGAGCUUGCUCCGCUGACGAGUGGCGAACGGGUGAGUAAUGUAUCGGAACGUACCAUAGAGUGGGGGAUAACUAUCCGAAAGGAUAGCUAAUACCGCAUAUUCUCUCCGGAGGAAAGCAGGGGACCGCAAGGCCUUGCGCUCUUUGAGCGGCCGAUAUCAGAUUAGCUAGUUGGUGAGGUAAAGGCUCACCAAGGCGACGAUCUGUAGCGGGUCUGAGAGGAUGAUCCGCCACACUGGAACUGAGACACGGUCCAGACUCCUACGGGAGGCAGCAGUGGGGAAUUUUGGACAAUGGGGGCAACCCUGAUCCAGCCAUGCCGCGUGAGUGAAGAAGGCCUUCGGGUUGUAAAGCUCUUUCGGCCGGGAAGAAAUCGCACAGGCCAAUACCCUGUGUGGAUGACGGUACCGGAAUAAGAAGCACCGGCUAACUACGUG